GAAGAGGAGCCUGCGGCGGAUUAGCUAGUUGGUAAGGUAAUGGCUUACCAAGGCGACGAUCCGUAACCGGCCUGAGAGGGCGGUCGGUCACACUGACACUGACAUACGGGUCAGACUCCUACGGGAGGCAGCAGUCGGGAAUUUUGGGCAAUGGGCGAAAGCCUGACCCAGCAACGCCGCGUGAAGGAUGAAAUCCCUCGGGAUGUAAACUUCGCAAGAACGGGAAGAAUAAGCGAUAGUUAAUAUCUGUCGUGAUGACGGUACCGUUUGUAAGCUCCGGCUAACUCCGUGCCAGCAGCCGCGGUAAUACGGGGGGAGCAAGCGUUGUUCGGAUUUACUGGGCGUAAAGGGCGCGUAGGCGGCCAGCGCAAGUCAGUUGUGAAAUCUCCGAGCUUAACUCGGAAAGGUCAACUGAUACUGCGCGGCUAGAGUGCGGAAGGGGCAACUGGAAUUCUCGGUGUAGCGGUGAAAUGCGUAGAUAUCGAGAGGAACACCUGCGGCGAAGGCGGGUUGCUGGGCCGACACUGACGCUGAGGCGCGAAAGCUAGGGGAGCGAACGGGAUUAGAUACCCCGGUAGUCCUAGCCUUAAACGAUGAAUGCUUGGUGUCUGGGGUUAUAUAGUCCCCGGGUGCCGUCGCUAACGCUUUAAGCAUUCCGCCUGGGGAGUACGGUCGCAAGACUGAAACUCAAAGGAAUUGACGGGGACCCGCACAAGCGGUGGAGCAUGUGGUUUAAUUCGACGCAACGCGAAGAACCUUACCUGGGCUAAAAUGCCUCUGACAACCCUAGAGAUAGGGCCUUCUGGGUAAAACCAGACAGAGUGCAAGGUGCUGCAUGGCUGUCGUCAGCUCGUGUCGUGAGAUGUUGGGUUAAGUCCCGCAACGAGCGCAACCCUUAUCUUUAGUUGCCAGCAUUUAGUUGGGCACUCUAGAGAGACUGCC
RNAcentral lists this ribosomal RNA (942 nucleotides) under uncultured Acidobacteriota bacterium. RNAcentral's name for it is "bacterial SSU rRNA". It matches the Rfam family "Bacterial small subunit ribosomal RNA", at positions 221 to 1153 of the family's 1533-position model. Lineage: Bacteria; Pseudomonadati; Acidobacteriota. The record is from RNAcentral.